GAUGGAUCCAAAAAUCAGAUUGUUGGGACAGUCCCUCCGAGUUUAGGGAGUCUGGUUUCAUUAGUUGCUCUCAAUUUAAGUUGGAACCACCUGCGAGGUCAGAUUCCUAGCAGACUUGGCCAGAUAAAGGAUCUCAGUUACCUCUCUUUGGCUGGCAAUAAUCUGGUUGGCCCAAUCCCCUCAAGUUUUGGCCAAUUGCACUCUUUAGAAACGCUUGAACUUUCUUCGAAUUCUUUGUCUGGUGAAAUUCCAAAUAAUCUGGUAAAUUUGAGGAAUUUGACUUCCCUUCUUCUGAACAACAACAAUUUAUCAGGGAAAAUACCUUCAGGCUUGGCCAAUGUGACCACACUGGCAGCAUUUAACGUUUCUUUCAAUAAUCUGUCUGGGCCACUGCCUCUUAACAAAGAUUUGAUGAAGUGUAAUAGUGUUCAGGGAAACCCCUUUCUGCAAUCGUGCCAUGUAUUUUCUCUAUCAACACCUUCUACAGAUCAGCAGGGAAGAAUAGGGGACUCACAAGAUUCUGCUGCGUCUCCUUCAGGUUCAACCCAGAAAGGAGGGAGCAGCGGUUUCAACUCCAUAGAGAUUGCAUCCAUAACAUCUGCGGCAGCUAUUGUGUCAGUUCUUCUUGCUCUGAUAGUCCUGUUCUUUUACACCAGAAAAUGGAAUCCAAGAUCUAGAGUUGCUGGAUCUACCAGGAAAGAAGUCACAGUGUUUACAGAAGUUCCGGUUCCUUUAACAUUUGAAAAUGUAGUGCGGGCCACAGGGAGCUUCAAUGCUAGCAAUUGCAUAGGCAGUGGAGGUUUUGGAGCAACAUACAAAGCGGAGAUUGCACCAGGGUUCCUAGUGGCAGUAAAGCGACUUGCUGUAGGACGUUUUCAGGGGAUUCAACAGUUUGAUGCAGAAAUCAGAACUCUGGGGAGGCUUCGACAUCCAAACCUCGUAACUCUGAUAGGAUAUCAUAAUAGUGAAACAGAAAUGUUUCUGAUCUAUAACUAUUUGCCAGGUGGUAAUUUGGAAAAGUUUAUUCAGGAGAGGUCUACAAGGGCUGUGGACUGGAGGGUUCUUCACAAGAUUGCUUUGGAUGUAGCCCGUGCACUUGCUUACCUGCAUGAUCAGUGU
Molecule: unclassified non-coding RNA, 1119 nt
Filed under: Hevea brasiliensis (rubber tree)
Lineage: Eukaryota; Viridiplantae; Streptophyta; Magnoliopsida; Malpighiales; Euphorbiaceae
Source: RNAcentral